GAUGAAGAACGUAGCGAAAUGCGAUAAGUAAUGUGAAUUGCAGAAUUCAGUGAACCAUCGAAUCUUUGAACGCACAUUGCGCCCGGCAGUAAUCUGCCGGGCAUGCCUGUCCGAGCGUCAUUUCUCCCCUCGAGCGCAGCUUUCCCCCCCGGGGGAGGGCCGCGCCCGGUGUUGGGGCGCUACGGAGGAGCCCAGCGCUCCCCCGUAGGCCCCGAAAUGUAGUGGCGGUCCCGCCGCGGCGCCCCCUGCGUAGUAGUUUUACAACUCGCAUCGGGUCCCGGCGGAGGCCAGCCGUCAAACCCCCCAACUUCAAUAGUUUGACCUCGGAUCAGGUAGGGAUACCCGCUGAACUUAAGCAUAUCAAUAAGCGGAGGA
Molecule: unclassified non-coding RNA, 375 nt
Filed under: soil metagenome
Description: partial contains 5.8S ribosomal RNA, internal transcribed spacer 2, and large subunit ribosomal RNA
Rfam family: 5.8S ribosomal RNA (bases 1-120)
Source: RNAcentral